CUAGGAGGCAGUGUUACAGUUACGAUGGUGUUCAUUGGGUUGAAACAAACCUUUUUGACAGAAUGUUUGAUGCUGAAAUCCGAUGGAUUCCUUUUUUCAGGUCGCACAGAUGGACUCCCCUCCUUCCUAGUGCACAUAGAGCUCCCAAGUAUCAGGAAUUGCACCACCAGCCCGCGGGAGACCAAAGUGACCAGCCUGUCAGACGUGUCUGUGAAGAACCAAACAGCAACACAUCUAAAGAGGAAACCAGGUGUUGCUUUGCCAUCAAAGACGAUGACAUGUCUAGCUGCCACUUCCUGUCAAGACCCUAAGGUUCCUCUCCUCUCCUAG
This 330-nucleotide long non-coding RNA is filed under the name Oryzias sinensis (Chinese medaka). Its description in RNAcentral is "lncRNA (ENSOSIG00000003858.1)". The record is from RNAcentral. Lineage: Eukaryota; Metazoa; Chordata; Actinopteri; Beloniformes; Adrianichthyidae.